This 819-nucleotide ribosomal RNA is filed under the name Salmonella enterica. RNAcentral's name for it is "partial 23S ribosomal RNA". It matches the Rfam family "Bacterial large subunit ribosomal RNA", at positions 1162 to 1937 of the family's 2925-position model. The record is from RNAcentral. Lineage: Bacteria; Pseudomonadati; Pseudomonadota; Gammaproteobacteria; Enterobacterales; Enterobacteriaceae.
CCAAGACAACUUUACGGAGUUGACGAUUGACGGAGCGAAGCGACGUCAAAGCGUUCAUUAAAGUCGAGUUGGCUUAGGGAUACGUUCGUUGGGUAGGGGAGCGUUCUGUAAGCCUGUGAAGGUGUGUCGUGAGGCAUGCUGGAGGUAUCAGAAGUGCGAAUGCUGACAUAAGUAACGAUAAAGCGGGUGAAAAGCCCGCUCGCCGGAAGACCAAGGGUUCCUGUCCAACGUUAAUCGGGGCAGGGUGAGUCGACCCCUAAGGCGAGGCCGAAAGGCGUAGUCGAUGGGAAACGGGUUAAUAUUCCCGUACUUGGUGUUACUGCGAAGGGGGGACGGAGAAGGCUAUGUUGGCCGGGCGACGGUUGUCCCGGUUUAAGCGUGUAGGUGUGUGUUCCAGGUAAAUCCGGUUCACUUUAACACUGAGGCGUGACGACGAGGCACUACGGUGCUGAAGCAACAAAUGCCCUGCUUCCAGGAAAAGCCUCUAAGCAUCAGGUAACACGAAAUCGUACCCCAAACCGACACAGGUGGUCAGGUAGAGAAUACCAAGGCGCUUGAGAGAACUCGGGUGAAGGAACUAGGCAAAAUGGUGCCGUAACUUCGGGAGAAGGCACGCUGACACGUAGGUGAAGUGAUUUACUCAUGGAGCUGAAGUCAGUCGAAGAUACCAGCUGGCUGCAACUGUUUAUUAAAAACACAGCACUGUGCAAACACGAAAGUGGACGUAUACGGUGUGACGCCUGCCCGGUGCCGGAAGGUUAAUUGAUGGGGUCAGCGUAAGCGAAGCUCCUGAUCGAAGCCCCGGUAAACGGCGGCCGU